RNAcentral lists this transfer RNA (67 nucleotides) under Xenopus laevis (African clawed frog). It matches the Rfam family "tRNA". Rfam says of the family: Transfer RNA (tRNA) molecules are approximately 80 nucleotides in length. Their secondary structure includes four short double-helical elements and three loops (D, anti-codon, and T loops). Lineage: Eukaryota; Metazoa; Chordata; Amphibia; Anura; Pipidae. The record is from Rfam by way of RNAcentral.
GACCUCGUGGUGCAACGGUAGUGCGUCUGGCUCCAGAUCAGAAGGUUGCGUGAUCAAGUCGGGGUCA